GCCCAAAAUCUAGCCCACCUAUCCCCUAUGAUAUCUUCCCCCCCCUUUUUUUUAAACAAAACAUUUUAACAGCUUAGUAUAGGCGAUUGAAAAAUUUCUUGGCGCUUUAGAGAAAGUACCGCAAGGGAAUGUGAAAUAGUAAUGAAAUAACCUUAAAGCACUAAAUGCAGAGCUCCCCCUCGUACCUUUUGCAUCAUGGUCUAACUAGUCUUACCAGGCAAAAUGAAAACUUUCGUCUGACUCCCCGAAACUAAGCGAGCUACUUCAAAACACCGCAAGGGGCCAACCCAUCUCUGUUGCAAAAGAGUGGGAAGAUUUUUAAGUAGAGGCGACAAACCUACCGAGCUUAGAGAUAGCUGGUUGUUCAGGAAAAGAGUUUUAGCUCAACCUUAAACCUCAUAAUUACAUUAAACAAAACAAUAGGCUUAAGAGCUAUUCAAAUAAGGCACAGCUUAUUUGAAUCAGGAUACAACCUCUAACUACGGGUUAAUUUAGGUCCAUAAAACUAAGUAGGCCUAAAAGCAGCCACCUAAAAGAAAGCGUUAUAGCUCAAUUUCCUUGAACCUUAAAUCCAUUAAACUACUUACAACCCCUCCCUACUACUGAACAUAUUUUAUAUGUUAUAAAAAUAAUAAUGCUAGAACUAGUAACAAGAAUCGGCCCUUCUCCUAAAUGUGAAUUAAAGCCAAAAUGGACACUCCAUUGGCAAUUACCGCAAAUGCACUAACCAUAGUACCUCAUGCAAGAAAACCCUAUUACCCUCAGCGUUAACCUAACACCAGAACAUUACAGGAAAGAUUAACAGAGAAAGAAGGAACUCGGCAAAUUUCAGUCCCGCCUGUUUACCAAAAACAUCGCCUCUUGUUUAAAUAUAAGAGGUCCAGCCUGCCCAGUGACAUAGUUCAACGGCCGCGGUAUCCUAACCGUGCGAAGGUAGCAUAAUCACUUGUUCUUUAAAUAGGGACUUGUAUCAACGGCAUCACGAGGGCUGUACUGUCUCCUUUCUCCAAUCAGUGAAACUGAUCUCCCCGUGAAGAAGCGGGGAUAAAUAUAUAAGACGAGAAGACCCCAUGGAGCUUAAAACCUCACACAUCUCUAUGUUAUUAAAUCACUUAAACAAGGGGGGUUGUGGCUGGGUUUUAGGUUGGGGAGACCACGGAGUAAAAUUAAACCUCCAUGACAAACGCCAACGCCCUCACCCAUGAAUUACAAUUACAAUUCUAAGUAUUAACAAACUAAUGUUGAUGAUCCGGUUAGCCGAUCAACGAACCAAGUUACCCUGGGGAUAACAGCGCCAUCUGCUUCAAGAGCCCCUAUCGACAAGCAGGUUUACGACCUCGAUGUUGGAUCAGGGUAUCCUAGUGGUGCAGCCGCUACUAAAGGUUCGUUUGUUCAACGAUUAAAACCCUA
RNAcentral lists this ribosomal RNA (1410 nucleotides) under Amolops torrentis. RNAcentral's name for it is "partial 16S ribosomal RNA". It matches the Rfam family "Bacterial large subunit ribosomal RNA", at positions 267 to 2598 of the family's 2925-position model. The record is from RNAcentral. Lineage: Eukaryota; Metazoa; Chordata; Amphibia; Anura; Ranidae.